Molecule: ribosomal RNA, 497 nt
Filed under: uncultured bacterium
Lineage: Bacteria
Description: partial 16S ribosomal RNA
Rfam family: Bacterial small subunit ribosomal RNA
Source: RNAcentral
GAUGAACGCUGGCGGCGUGCCUAAUACAUGCAAGUCGAGCGAACAGACGAGGAGCUUGCUCCUCUGACGUUAGCGGCGGACGGGUGAGUAACACGUGGAUAACCUACCUAUAAGACUGGGAUAACUUCGGGAAACCGGAGCUAAUACCGGAUAAUAUAUUGAACCGCAUGGUUCAAUAGUGAAAGACGGUUUUGCUGUCACUUAUAGAUGGAUCCGCGCCGCAUGAGCUAGUUGGUAAGGUAACGGCUUACCAAGGCAACGAUGGGUAGCCGACCUGAGAGGGUGAUCGGCCACACUGGAACGGAGACACGGUCCAGACUCCUACGGGAGGCAGCAGUAGGGAAUCUUCCGCAAUGGGCGAAAGCCUGACGGAGCAACGCCGCGUGAGUGAUGAAGGUCUUCGGAUCGUAAAACUCUGUUAUUAGGGAAGAACAAAUGUGUAAGUAACUAUGCACGUCUUGACGGUACCGAAUCAGAAAGCCACGGCUAACUACGUG